CUUCCUCAUCAUCAUCAUCAGA
RNAcentral lists this microRNA (22 nucleotides) under Shrimp white spot syndrome virus. RNAcentral describes it as "wssv-mir164". Lineage: Naldaviricetes; Nimaviridae. The record is from RNAcentral.